GCCACCUUAGCUCAGCGGUAGAGCAGCACUUUCGUAAAGUGAAGGUCCCCGGUUCAAAUCCGGGAGGUGGCUCCA
This 75-nucleotide transfer RNA is filed under the name bacterium. RNAcentral describes it as "tRNA-Thr". It matches the Rfam family "tRNA". From Rfam's summary of the family: Transfer RNA (tRNA) molecules are approximately 80 nucleotides in length. The record is from RNAcentral.